This 513-nucleotide ribosomal RNA is filed under the name uncultured bacterium. RNAcentral describes it as "bacterial SSU rRNA". It matches the Rfam family "Bacterial small subunit ribosomal RNA", at positions 9 to 511 of the family's 1533-position model. The record is from RNAcentral.
GAGUUUGAUCCUGGCUCAGGAUGAACGCUAGCUACAGGCUUAACACAUGCAAGUCGAGGGGCAGCAUGGUCUUAGCUUGCUAAGGCCGAUGGCGACCGGCGCACGGGUGAGUAACACGUAUCCAACCUGCCGUCUACUCUUGGACAGCCUUCUGAAAGGAAGAUUAAUACAAGAUGGCAUCAUGAGUCCGCAUGUUCACAUGAUUAAAGGUAUUCCGGUAGACGAUGGGGAUGCGUUCCAUUAGAUAGUAGGCGGGGUAACGGCCCACCUAGUCUUCGAUGGAUAGGGGUUCUGAGAGGAAGGUCCCCCACAUUGGAACUGAGACACGGUCCAAACUCCUACGGGAGGCAGCAGUGAGGAAUAUUGGUCAAUGGGCGAGAGCCUGAACCAGCCAAGUAGCGUGAAGGAUGACUGCCCUAUGGGUUGUAAACUUCUUUUAUAAAGGAAUAAAGUCGGGUAUGGAUACCCGUUUGCAUGUACUUUAUGAAUAAGGAUCGGCUAACUCCGUGCCAG